GCCCGAGUGGUUUAGUAGGUUAAGCGUCUGACUCUUGAUUUCAGCUCAGGUCAUAAUCUCGUGGUUUGUGGGUUCGAGCCCCAUGUCGGGCU
RNAcentral lists this transfer RNA (92 nucleotides) under Felis catus (domestic cat). It matches the Rfam family "tRNA". Rfam says of the family: Transfer RNA (tRNA) molecules are approximately 80 nucleotides in length. Their secondary structure includes four short double-helical elements and three loops (D, anti-codon, and T loops). The record is from Rfam by way of RNAcentral. Lineage: Eukaryota; Metazoa; Chordata; Mammalia; Carnivora; Felidae.